UACGGGGGGGGCUAGCGUUGUUCGGAAUUACUGGGCGUAAAGGGCGCGUAGGCGGCCUACUAAGUCGGACGUGAAAUCCCUCGGCUCAACCGGGGAACUGCGUCCGAUACUGGUGGGCUCGAAUCCGGGAGAGGGAUGUGGAAUUCCAGGUGUAGCGGUGAAAUGCGUAGAUAUCUGGAGGAACACCGGUGGCGAAGGCGGGUCUCUGGGCCGAUACUGACGCUGAGGAGCGAAAGCGUGGGGAGCGAACAGG
This 253-nucleotide ribosomal RNA is filed under the name uncultured bacterium. Its description in RNAcentral is "partial 16S ribosomal RNA". It matches the Rfam family "Bacterial small subunit ribosomal RNA", at positions 524 to 776 of the family's 1533-position model. The record is from RNAcentral.